CUACGGGAGGCAGCAGUGGGGAAUUUUGCGCAAUGGGGGAAACCCUGACGCAGCAACGCCGCGUGAGUGAUGAAGGCCUUCGGGUCGUAAAGCUCUGUCAGAGGGGAAGAAGUGAUAGUGUGCUAAUACCACAUUAUCUUGACGGUACCCUCAAAGGAAGCACCGGCUAACUCCGUGCCAGCAGCCGCGGUAAUACGGAGGGUGCAAGCGUUGUUCGGAUUUAUUGGGCGUAAAGCGCGUGUAGGCGGUCUUUUAAGUCUGAUGUGAAAGCCCCGGGCUCAACCCGGGAAGUGCAUUGGAAACUGGGAGACUUGAAUACGGGAGAGGGUAGUGGAAUUCCUAGUGUAGGAGUGAAAUCCGUAGAUAUUAGGAGGAACACCGGUGGCGAAGGCGGCUACCUGGACCGAUAUUGACGCUGAGACGCGAAAGCGUGGGGAGCAAACAGGAUUAGAUACCCCGGUAGC
RNAcentral lists this ribosomal RNA (464 nucleotides) under uncultured bacterium. RNAcentral describes it as "bacterial SSU rRNA". It matches the Rfam family "Bacterial small subunit ribosomal RNA", at positions 339 to 794 of the family's 1533-position model. The record is from RNAcentral.